Molecule: ribosomal RNA, 484 nt
Filed under: uncultured bacterium
Lineage: Bacteria
Description: bacterial SSU rRNA
Rfam family: Bacterial small subunit ribosomal RNA
Source: RNAcentral
AUUGAACGCUGGCGGCAUGCCUUACACAUGCAAGUCGAACGGCAGCACGGGAGCAAUCCUGGUGGCGAGUGGCGAACGGGUGAGUAAUAUAUCGGAACGUGCCCAGUCGUGGGGGAUAACGCAGCGAAAGUUGUGCUAAUACCGCAUACGAUCUAUGGAUGAAAGCGGGGGAUCGCAAGACCUCGCGCGAUUGGAGCGGCCGAUAUCAGAUUAGGUUGUUGGUGAGGUAAAAGCUCACCAAGCCUGCGAUCUGUAGCUGGUCUGAGAGGACGACCAGCCACACUGGAACUGAGACACGGUCCAGACUCCUACGGGAGGCAGCAGUGGGGAAUUUUGGACAAUGGACGCAAGUCUGAUCCAGCAAUGCCGCGUGCAGGACGAAGGCCUUCGGGUUGUAAAGCUCUUUUGUCCGGAAAGAAAAGCGCCGGGUUAAUACCCUGGUGUCCUGACGGUACCGGAAGAAUAAGCACCGGCUAACUUCGUG